AUUUAUAUAGUUUAUUUAAAACAUCAUAUUUUCAUUAUGAAAAAAGAAAAUAUUCUUAUAAAUU
Molecule: transfer RNA, 64 nt
Filed under: Luperomorpha xanthodera
Lineage: Eukaryota; Metazoa; Arthropoda; Insecta; Coleoptera; Chrysomelidae
Description: tRNA-Glu
Source: RNAcentral